Long non-coding RNA from Nematostella vectensis (starlet sea anemone), 1722 nucleotides. RefSeq lists it as uncharacterized. Lineage: Eukaryota; Metazoa; Cnidaria; Anthozoa; Actiniaria; Edwardsiidae. The record is from RefSeq and is a predicted model, not a curated record. The transcript is spliced from 2 exons.
UAAAACAAACAAAGCGAGGCCAAAAAAUUCCCUGAUCUUGAACUCGUCCAAAACUACCCCCUUUUUUGUUGGGACGUUCUAUAGGGAAAAGCGGAUGGUUACGGUCCUAAAGGAGGCAAAAGCAGAUUUGCAUAUCCGCAUAGGGAUCUCCCAGGAUUGAAAACGUAAUUUUAAUUACUUACCCAUAUUCUAAGGGGUCCAAAUGAUUUUCAAACAGAUACGGGCAUUCAAUAUUAUGACACGAUAACUCGACUACAAUACAAAGACUAGCUAUUCUAAUUGCUAGCUAUUCUAAAUCACAUUCAAUGGAGAAGAGAAUGUGCAAUUUACCUAGUGCUGGGACACUUCUGUCAUCAUACAUCCCGCGGAGGGGAACGUCCAUAUUAGUAUACCAGGGUGAUCGGCUUUUACUGUUUUAAGGUACAGUUGUCCUGACAUUUGGUCAGCGUACUUAAAGAAAUCCCCUGGAAAUGUCGACCCCGCUACUGCUCCAUCUCCGACUGCCGCAACCACUCGGGCAUUCAUCGGGUUCUCGUCGGUACUGACACGAAGCUCGGACGAAUCAUCAGACGCUAUUGCAAAUCUAAAAACUCCAGUUUUAUCCGCAUGAAUGUAGCCAAUAAUCCAUUGGGCGUAAUUCUGCUCGGAAUUCAUCUUGAUAAGCGAUGUGUUGCUUAGAGAGUGCACAUCCGAGGCAAAGUAAGGAAAAUAUGGGUGUCCUAGAAUUGACAUGACAUCCGAACCAAGAAUAUCUUUCCAUACAAAUCUGUUUAGUUUGUCAGUUUGCACGGGGAGUUUUUUCAGCACUGUCUGGUUAUCCGCGCAGAGAUUCCCCCAGUUGAUGGGCUGCAUGAAGUCAUCGCCAGUGGCCAUUGCAGCUAGCCUCUCUAAUCGAUGGCUUCCGGUUAAAGGUAGAAGCUGGAACUGUAUAUACACAAGAGCUAGACAGCAACCAAAUACAAGCCUUAGGUAGCACUUGCAGCGCCUUUUUCUCAUCAUGGUGAAAGUUCCACGAUCUGAUGAGAGCUGGCGCAGACAAUAUUGAACUUGUGAAGUGUGAAACAACUGCAAAGCACUUAAGAAUUCCUUGCAAAGAUAUCAUUGUGCGAGCGUGUGAAAACACUAAUCUUCUCACCAAUAACGAAGCUGUUGCUAAGACGAUGAGUCCCAUCCAUGCGGCGAAUAUUUCAUAUAAACAAAUGAAGAUUUUUUCCUCUUGAAUAUUUUAUGAUUUAAAAACGAUAUUAAGCUAUUCAGCUCGUUAUCACUCGUUACAAUUGGAUUGGCAAUUUUAACGAAAAUAAGGAGAAAUAAGAUGAAAUAAAAAAAUAAAAUACGACCAUUCUUCUCAAAUUGACCGUAAAACUUGUAUCAAUCUGGAAUUGUCUGUGAAUGAUUGUAGAUCCCUGGUUUGUGCGCUGAAGUAUUCUUAUUUGAUUAUUACUGAGUCCAUCCAAGAUUUUAAAGUUUUGUUAUUGUUAUUAUACUCUAGGAUCUAGAGAAUAGGAUGAUGUUUCGCGCUUACUGCAUGUAUAUUACCAGGGCGUAGAAAGGAAACAACUUAAACAUUAUUUUUAGCACUUGUUAUUCCAACAAUGGUUAAUAAUAUGGCCAUGAAUAGGUGCACUUACUAUAAAUAGCACGGCGGAAACAAAUCACUAAUACCGCUUUGAUAAAGAAUUGAAGUUCGUCAUCAAAAAUAACAGAUAAAUAGGUUGAAUU